AUACGGAGGGGGCUAGCGUUGUUCGGAAUUACUGGGCGUAAAGCGUACGUAGGCGGACUGAUCAGUUGGGGGUGAAAUCCCAGGGCUUAACCCUGGAACUGCCUUCAAUACUGUCAGUCUUGAGAUUGGAAGAGGUGAGUGGAAUUCCUAGUGUAGAGGUGAAAUUCAUAGAUAUUAGGAGGAACACCAGUGGCGAAGGCGGCUCACUGGUCCAAUACUGACGCUGAGGUACGAAAGCGUGGGAAGCAAACAGGAUUAGACACCCUAGUAGUCC
This 274-nucleotide ribosomal RNA is filed under the name uncultured bacterium. RNAcentral describes it as "partial 16S ribosomal RNA". It matches the Rfam family "Bacterial small subunit ribosomal RNA", at positions 523 to 796 of the family's 1533-position model. The record is from RNAcentral.